Ictalurus furcatus (blue catfish) is the source of this 2810-nucleotide RNA transcript. It is a transcript of the gene named rab effector MyRIP-like, with no coding region annotated. The transcript is spliced from 3 exons. Lineage: Eukaryota; Metazoa; Chordata; Actinopteri; Siluriformes; Ictaluridae. The record is from RefSeq and is a predicted model, not a curated record.
AAUAAGUUAUUUAAAGUUGAGAACAUAAUUCAUAUAUAAAAUUGCAGGAAGUCAUGCUAAUUUGAAAUCAAGUCAAAUCAACUGAAAUCAGUCAAGGUUUAUAUUUGUAUAAGUCUUCUUAUAUACAAAUGCACCCUCUUCAGUUAUGAGGAUUUUUUUUCCCAUAUUAAAUAGGUUUUUAUGAAUACUAUGUUUAUUGUGUUAAUGCUCCUAUGAACUAUUUUAAAAUAAAUUUCUAUAUCCAGCUUGAUAGAUGUGAAGCAUUGUUCUUACAUACAGUGGGGGAAAUAAGUAUUGAACGUGUCAACAUUUUUUUCAGUAAAUAUAUUUCCAAUGAGGCUAUUCAUAUUAAAUUUUCACCAGACAUCAGUAUUAACUCAAGAAAUCCACACAUAUAAAGAAAUCCAAACAUUAAAGUCCAUAAAUGAAGUUAUGUGUAAUAAAGCAGAAUGACACAGAAAAAAAGCUUUGAACACGCUAAGAAAAAUAAAAAUACAUUUAUUUAAUACUUAGUGGAGAAUGCUUUGUUUGUAAUGACAGCUUCAAGAUGCUUCCUGUAUGAAGAAAUUAAUGGGCCGCAGUAUUCAGGUGAAGCCUCUUUAUCCAAACCGAGUCAUUCAGCUAACCCCAGAGAAGAGUGUAGAUUUAUACUUCUGGGAGGUGAUGACUUUACAAAGAAUGAGGCAUGCAAGAUCUUACUCAGGAAUGGGCAGAGCCAACAAAGAGCUGAUCUGGAAGGGUGGGAGGUGAAGGAGAACCGUGUCCAGGGAAGACAUGUCACUGUGGCAAUUAGUCCUUCUCGUUGGUUGAAGCACUUGAAAUCAUUCUUUUUUUCCAGGAGAGUCAAAAGUAUCAAAAAUGAAAUUCAGAAAUGUGCAUCAGUGGUGUUCCCUGGGCCUAAUGCAUUCCUUUUGGUGAUUAGAGAUGGACAUGAACCUGGAAAAGUGCAUCUCCUUUUAAAAGCAGUUGCUUCAGUGUUUGGGAAAGAGGCAUUCGACUACAGUAUGGUGCUGUUCAUUAGAGGAGAUGGAGAAAAACGUUCAGAUCCUGCCUCAAUGAAGUGCGUUAAGAACUGUGGGAAAAGGCACCACUUUCUAGAGGACACUGAUAGCAGUGUUCAGAAUCUUUUCAUGAGAGUUGGGGAUAUGACAGCUAACACAAACAGCAAGUUCUUUAUUCCACCAGCCUAUGCAGAACCUAUGAAUAAAUUUGAACCAUGGGAAAAGAAAAGAAUUUUAUAUAUAAAGACCUUACUGGAUGAAUGCAAGGAUGAAAAAAGACAAAAAGACCAGCAUAUUAAAGAACUAAAAAUGAAGAUGGAGACCUCUCAACAGAGAGAGAGUGAACUUGAAAAGAAGUUGCAUGACUCUAAUAUGAGAGAGAGCAAACUUAAAAAGAAGUUGCAUGACUCUAGUAUAAGGGAGAGUGAACUUGAAAAGAAGUUGCAUGACUCUAGUAUAAGGGAGAGUGAACUUGAAAAGAAGUUGGGUGACUCUCGGCUGAGGGAGCGUGAACUUGAAAAGAAGUUGGGUGACUCUCGGCUGAGGGAGCGUGAACUUGAAAAGAAGUUGGGUGACUCUUGGCUGAGGGAGCGUGAACUUGGAAAGAAGUUGGAUGAAUCUCGGCUGAGGGAGAGUGAACUCGAAAAGGACUUGGAAGCUACUCAACUAAGAGGAACAACCUAAGAAAAGAAUUGGAUGAUUUUAAAAGAAACAAAUAUAACCCAGGAAGUGUACUGGAUUCUUCUCAACAAAGAGAGAGUGAGGUUAGAAACGAGGACCAUGGUGUAGAAAGGGACAACAGCAAAGAGCAAGCACCACAACCCAUUGGAACCAGGGAAUGCAGGGGGGGCAAAGACAUCGAGUUACCACAUUUUUCCACAGAUCAGAGCUAAUAUGAACAAAACAAACACACAACAAGGACAGAGUCAGGAGCUAAAUGAAUUUUAAAACAAAAAGCACAAACACUUGCCAUCAUGGGAAAAGUCCUCAGAACAGCAUUCACUAGCAGACAAAUGCUGCACACCAAAAGUAUUAAAGUAUUAUCCAUGGCAGUACUGAACUUUAUAUAACAGUAUUGUUUACUAUUAUUUGGACCAUUAUCUUUUUUUCUUGAGUUUUUCUUUUUUAAAAAUCUAAAUGAUGCAAAACAUCAAUUUAAAAACAAAAUUUUUUUUACAGGGAACUGAGUUGAAUCAUUUAUUUUUUUAUUAAUUAUUUUUCAAAACUUGCCAUUGUAUAGAAAUGGACCAUUAUUUAUUAUAUUUGUCACAUUAUCCAUCUGUGUAUGAAAUAUGAUGUGUAAAUAAACUUUCUUCUUCUUAUUAUUAUUAUUACUACUCCUGUGGUGAACUAUAAGUAUUUUAGUUAUAUACAGCACCCUCCACUAAUAUUGGCACCCUUGGUAAAUGUGAGCAAAGAAGGCUGUGAAAAAUUGUCUUUACUGUUUAACCUUUUGAUCUUUUGUUUAAAAGAAAAUCACUUUUCUCCCACGGAUAUCAAACAAUUGCAAACAAAACACAGGUUGUUGGAUAACUUUUUUGCUUUAAUAUAAUCAAUAAACAGAUAAUAACUGUAUUGUGUGUUUACUUAGGUUGCCUCAGAUCUAAAACUAUUUAGUAUGAGAUAUACAAUGUACACCACAAAAAUAGAAGAAAUCAGGAUGGGGCAUCAAACACACACACACACACACACACACACACACACACACACACACACAGUAAUCCUGUACAUCAGCUGAUCCUGUCUCUAUUUGAGAAAUCAUGUAGCUUAAUAAAUUCAUAUUUUAAACAGCGCUUCCCUGUUUGUUGC